RNAcentral lists this ribosomal RNA (422 nucleotides) under uncultured bacterium. Its description in RNAcentral is "partial 16S ribosomal RNA". It matches the Rfam family "Bacterial small subunit ribosomal RNA", at positions 360 to 774 of the family's 1533-position model. The record is from RNAcentral.
AAUCUUCUGCAAUGGACGAAAGUCUGACGGAGCAACGCCGCGCGAGUGAUGAAGGUUUUCGGAUCGUAAAAUUCUGUUGUUAGGGAAGAACAAGUAACCGAGUCACGGCCGGUACCCUGACGGUACCUGACGAGAAAGCCACGGCAAACUAUGUGCCCGAAGCCUCGGUAAUACGUAGGUGGCAAGCGUUGUCCGGAUUUAUUGGGCGUAAAGCGCGCGCAGGCGGUCUUUUAAGUCUGAUGUGAAAUCUUACAGCUUAACUGUAAGCGGUCAUUGGAAACUGGGAGACUUGAGUGCAGAAGAGGAGAGUGGAAUUCCAUGUGUAGCGGUGAAAUGCGUAGAGAUAUGGAGGAACACCAGCGGCGAAGGCGGCUUUCUGGUCUGUAACUGACGCUGAGGCGCGAAAGCGUGGGGAGCAAACA